This 473-nucleotide ribosomal RNA is filed under the name uncultured bacterium. RNAcentral describes it as "partial 16S ribosomal RNA". It matches the Rfam family "Bacterial small subunit ribosomal RNA", at positions 28 to 507 of the family's 1533-position model. The record is from RNAcentral.
GAUAAACGCUGGCGGCGCACAUAAGACAUGCAAGUUGAACGGACUUAAUCGAAAUAUUUAUAUUUUGAAGCGGUUAGUGGCGGACUGGUGAGUAACGCGUAAGGAACCUGCCUAUUAGAGGGGAAUAACAGUGAGAAAUCAUUGCUAAUACCGCAUAUGCCAUAGAUAUCACAUGAUAACAGUGGGAAAGGAGCAAUCCGCUAAUAGAUGGCCUUGCGUCUGAUUAGAUAGUUGGUGGGGUAACGGCCUACCAAGUCGACGAUCAGUAGCCGGACUGAGAGGUUGAACGGCCACAUUGGGACUGAGAUACGGCCCAGACUCCUACGGGAGGCAGCAGUCGGGAAUAUUGCGCAAUGGAGGGAACUCUGACGCAGUGACGCCGCGUAGAGGAAGAAGGUUUUCGGAUUGUAAACUAUUGUCGUUAGGGAAGAGAAAGGACAGUACCUAAGGAGGAAGCUCCGGCUAACUACGUG